This 624-nucleotide ribosomal RNA is filed under the name uncultured bacterium. RNAcentral describes it as "bacterial SSU rRNA". It matches the Rfam family "Bacterial small subunit ribosomal RNA", at positions 124 to 746 of the family's 1533-position model. The record is from RNAcentral.
ACCUGCCCACCACUUGGGGAUAACCUUGCGAAAGUAAGACUAAUACCCAAUGAUAUCUCUAGAAGACAUCUGAAAGAGAUUAAAGAUUUAUCGGUGAUGGAUGGGGAUGCGUCUGAUUAGCUUGUUGGCGGGGUAACGGCCCACCAAGGCAACGAUCAGUAGGGGUUCUGAGAGGAAGGUCCCCCACAUUGGAACUGAGACACGGUCCAAACUCCUACGGGAGGCAGCAGUGAGGAAUAUUGGUCAAUGGACGAGAGUCUGAACCAGCCAAGUAGCGUGCAGGAUGACGGCCCUAUGGGUUGUAAACUGCUUUUAUAAGGGAAUAAAGUGAGUCUCGUGAGACUUUUUGCAUGUACCUUAUGAAUAAGGACCGGCUAAUUCCGUGCCAGCAGCCGCGGUAAUACGGAAGGUCCGGGCGUUAUCCGGAUUUAUUGGGUUCAAAGGGAGCGUAGGCCGGAGAUUAAGCGUGUUGUGAAAUGUAGACGCUCAACGUCUGCACUGCAGCGCGAACUGGUUUCCUUGAGUACGCACAAAGUGGGCGGAAUUCGUGGUGUAGCGGUGAAAUGCUUAGAUAUCACGAAGAACUCCGAUUGCGAAGGCAGCUCACUGGAGCGCAACUGACGC